This 149-nucleotide non-coding RNA is filed under the name uncultured Vexilliferidae. The record is from RNAcentral. Lineage: Eukaryota; Discosea; Flabellinia; Dactylopodida; Vexilliferidae.
GUACGUACAGUCCCCACCGAAAAGCAUCUUAGAGAGCAAUAUUGCAUCUCCGAUAAGGAAGCAUUGCAAUUGGCAAAAUGGGGUGUGGUCAUCGAAAAUCAUUAUUCGAAAAAGCGCAACACGUACACGCCAAUGGAUAUUGAAUGGGC